GCCAGACUCCUACGGGAGGCAGCAGUGGGGAAUAUUGCACAAUGGGGGAAACCCUGAUGCAGCAACGCCGCGUGAGUGAGGAAGUAUUUCGGUAUGUAAAGCUCUAUCAGCAGGGAAUAGAAAAGAAGGUACCUGAAAAAGAAGCCCCGGCUAACUACGUGCCAGCAGCCGCGGUAAUACGUAGGGGGCAAGCGUUAUCCGGAUUUACUGGGUGUAAAGGGAGCGUAGACGGCGAUGCAAGUCUGAAGUGAAAGGCGGGGGCCCAACCCCCGGACUGCUUUGGAAACUGUAUAGCUGGAGUGCAGGAGAGGUAAGUGGAAUUCCUAGUGUAGCGGUGAAAUGCGUAGAUAUCAGGAGGAACACCGGUGGCGAAGGCGGCCUGCUGGACUGCGACUGACGUUGAGGCCCGAAAGCGUGGGGAGCAAACAGGAUUAGAUACCCGAGUAAAC
This 449-nucleotide ribosomal RNA is filed under the name uncultured bacterium. Its description in RNAcentral is "partial 16S ribosomal RNA". It matches the Rfam family "Bacterial small subunit ribosomal RNA", at positions 330 to 795 of the family's 1533-position model. The record is from RNAcentral.